This 349-nucleotide unclassified non-coding RNA is filed under the name soil metagenome. RNAcentral's name for it is "partial contains 5.8S ribosomal RNA, internal transcribed spacer 2, and large subunit ribosomal RNA". The stretch from base 1 to 120 matches the Rfam family "5.8S ribosomal RNA", at positions 35 to 154 of the family's 154-position model. The record is from RNAcentral.
GAUGAAGAACGUAGCGAAAUGCGAUAAGUAAUGUGAAUUGCAGAAUUCAGUGAAUCAUCGAAUCUUUGAACGCACAUUGCGCCCGCCAGUAUUCUGGCGGGCAUGCCUGUCCGAGCGUCAUUUCAACCCUCGCGCCCAUCUGGGCUGCGGUGUUGGGGAUCGGCCUGCCCCCCCGGGGCGCGCCGCCCCCCAAAUUCAGUGGCGGUCUCGCUGCAGCCUCCCUUGCGUAGUAGCACACCUCGCACCGGAGCGCAGCGCGGCCACGCCGUAAAACCCCCGACCCCCAUGAGUUUGACCUCGGAUCAGGUAGGAAUACCCGCUGAACUUAAGCAUAUCAAUAAGCGGAGGA